AUUGAACGCUGGCGGCAUGCCUUACACAUGCAAGUCGAACGGUAACGGUUCCUUCGGGAUGCCGACGAGUGGCGAACGGGUGAGUAAUAUAUCGGAACGUGCCCAGUAGUGGGGAUAACUGCUCGAAAGAGCAGCUAAUACCGCAUACGACCUGAGGGUGAAAGGGUGGGAUCGCAAUACCUCUCGCUAUUGGAGCGUCCGAUAUCAGAUUAGUUAGUUGGUGGAGUAAAGGCCUACCAAGGCAACGAUCUGUAGAUGGUCUGAGAGGACUACGAGCCACACUGUGACGUAGACACUGGCCAGACUCAUACGGGAGGUAGCAGUGGGGAAUUUUGGAAAAUGGGCGCAAGCCUGAUCCAGCAAUGCCGCGUGCAGGAAGAAGGCCGUCUGGUUGUAAACUGCUUUUGUCAGGGAAGAAAUCUUCUGAGCUAAUACCCCGGGUGUAUGACGGUACCUGAAGAAUAAGCACCGGCUAACUACGUGCCAGGCGCCGCCGUAA
This 499-nucleotide ribosomal RNA is filed under the name uncultured bacterium. RNAcentral's name for it is "partial 16S ribosomal RNA". It matches the Rfam family "Bacterial small subunit ribosomal RNA", at positions 30 to 523 of the family's 1533-position model. The record is from RNAcentral.